AAUAGGAUGGUCGAGUGGUCAAGAUUUCCGCCUGUCAAUGAAAGAACACUUCUUCCAUAGCUCGCGGACGACCGGGGUUCGAUUCCCCGUCUGAGAG
Molecule: non-coding RNA, 97 nt
Organism: Arthrobotrys megalospora
Lineage: Eukaryota; Fungi; Ascomycota; Orbiliomycetes; Orbiliales; Orbiliaceae
Source: the annotation of a GenBank genome assembly